This 372-nucleotide ribosomal RNA is filed under the name Triticum aestivum (bread wheat). RNAcentral describes it as "partial small subunit ribosomal RNA". The record is from RNAcentral. Lineage: Eukaryota; Viridiplantae; Streptophyta; Magnoliopsida; Poales; Poaceae.
AAGAAGAAGAGGAAGCGAGAAACUGUGAAGCAAACAAAAUGCCAUGCUAAGAUGGUGCUGAAGCUUAAAGAUGACAGAUGGGAGGUUAUCACUUUUAUUGCAGAUCACAACCAUCCACUGAUUGACAAGCCAUCGCUUUCGAAAUACCUCCGUUCUCACCAAGGCAUCCCGCCGGAACAGAAAAAAUUUCUGACUCACCUAAACGACAGCAACUUGAUAGCAGGAAAGAUGUUGUUGUUAAUGUCAUCAUACUACGGCUCGGAGUUGAUUGUUCCGUACACAGCUAAAGCCAUCCAUAACCACUGUUCGAAGGUCAAUGCCCCAACUAAAGACAUUGACAUUCAAGAAACACUAAACUACUUUUCAAGGUGA